This 335-nucleotide ribosomal RNA is filed under the name uncultured bacterium. RNAcentral's name for it is "bacterial SSU rRNA". It matches the Rfam family "Bacterial small subunit ribosomal RNA", at positions 173 to 507 of the family's 1533-position model. The record is from RNAcentral.
AUAAUGCAGCGAUCCGCAUGGAUAUGUUGUUAAAGGUUUACCGCCUUGGGAUAGGCUUGCGUCUGAUUAGCUAGUUGGUGUGGUAAUGGCACACCAAGGCUACGAUCAGUAACUGGUCUGAGAGGAUGAUCAGUCACACUGGAACUGAGACACGGGUCCAGACUCCUACGGGAGGCAGCAGUGAGGAAUAUUGGGCAAUGCACGAAAGUGUGACCCAGCAACGCCGCGUGGAGGAUGAAGGUAUUCUAUAUCGUAAACUCCUGUGAGAGCAGACGAAAGACAGAUUAUUAAUUUGGAUGACUGUAUGCUCAGAGGAAGCCCCGGCUAACUACGUG